AUUGAACGCUGGCGGCAUGCCUUACACAUGCAAGUCGAACGGUAACGCGGGGCAACCUGGCGACGAGUGGCGAACGGGUGAGUAACGCAUCGGAACGUGCCCAGUAGUGGGGGAUAGCCCGGCGAAAGCCGGAUUAAUACCGCAUACGACCUACGGGUGAAAGGGGGGGAUCGCAAGACCUCUCGCUAUUGGAGCGGCCGAUGUCAGAUUAGGUAGUUGGUGGGGUAAAGGCCCACCAAGCCUUCGAUCUGUAGCUGGUCUGAGAGGACGACCAGCCACCCUGGGACUGAGAAACGGCCCAGACUCCUACGGGAGGCAGCAGUGGGGAAUUUUGGGCAAUGGGCGCAAGCCUGAUCCAGCCAUGCCGCGUGCGGGAAGAAGGCCUUCGGGUUGUAAACCGCUUUUGUCAGGGAAGAAACGCUCUGGGCUAAUACCCUGGGGUAAUGACGGUACCUGAAGAAUAAGCACCGGCUAACUACGUGCCAGCCGCCGCCGUAA
This 498-nucleotide ribosomal RNA is filed under the name uncultured bacterium. Its description in RNAcentral is "partial 16S ribosomal RNA". It matches the Rfam family "Bacterial small subunit ribosomal RNA", at positions 29 to 523 of the family's 1533-position model. The record is from RNAcentral.